UACGUAGGGUGCGAGCGUUAAUCGGAAUUACUGGGCGUAAAGCGUGCGCAGGCGGCGCGUUAAGACAGGUGUGAAAGCCCCGAGCUUAACUUGGGAAUUGCGCUUGUGACUGGCGUGCUGGAGUGUGGCAGAGGGAGGUGGAAUUCCGCGUGUAGCAGUGAAAUGCGUAGAGAUGUGGAGGAACACCGAUGGCGAAGGCAGCCUCCUGGGCCAGCACUGACGCUCAUGCACGAAAGCGUGGGGAGCAAACAGG
This 253-nucleotide ribosomal RNA is filed under the name uncultured bacterium. RNAcentral describes it as "partial 16S ribosomal RNA". It matches the Rfam family "Bacterial small subunit ribosomal RNA", at positions 524 to 776 of the family's 1533-position model. The record is from RNAcentral.